This 6124-nucleotide long non-coding RNA is filed under the name Piliocolobus tephrosceles (Ugandan red Colobus). Its description in RNAcentral is "lncRNA (ENSPTEG00000000841.1)". The record is from RNAcentral. Lineage: Eukaryota; Metazoa; Chordata; Mammalia; Primates; Cercopithecidae.
UUUCAUUUAAUUUUAAAAAGAAUUUAUUAGCUGUUGGUUCAAACGAGCAUAAAAUACAUAUAUACAAUUUAAAUAAUUUUUAUUACUUUCGAAAAAGAUAUAAUUAUGACGAAGCUAUAAAAUAUUUCACUAAAUUAUUAAUGAAUAAAAAAAUAAAAAUAAAUAACUUGUUUAAUAAUACUUCUGAUGAUAAUUUUAUGUCUCACCUUGACAAUAGUAGUAAACGUAAUGGCAAUCGCACUGGGAUAUUAAAAGGGCAAAACGGUAAACAGGUAAACAAAUUAAAAAGUAGUGACAAAAAAAAUGCUUUAUUUUUAUCAAUAAAGAAAAGAACGAGCAAAGGUACUGGCAAAAGAACGAGUAAACGCACAAGCAAAGGCAUAACCAAAGGCAUAAACACAUGUCCCAAACAGUUGACGCAUUUGUUAACCGAUGAUAAAAAAAACAAAAACGCGAAUUAUACAAAAGAAGAAGAAACAUUAAUCAACGAACAGAAUGAACAAAACCAAAUCGUUCAAUCAUAUUUAUUAGAUAAAAUUAAAAACAAUAUUAACAAUGAAUUAUAUAAAGGUAAAGAAAAUUUUUAUGAUAAUACUCGGGUAAACAUGAUGGGAAAUUGUUUAUCUGAUAGUGUUUAUGAGCGAGUACGUAAAAAGUGCGUACAAAUAAAAAGAAAUAAAAAGGUAUGCGAUAAAUGUGCACAAAAAUAUAAAAAAAAUAACUUAACUUAUUUAAGUGAAAACAAAAUAACUGAAGUGGCACCCUUUUCUUUGUUAGAUAGUAGUAUCUUAAGAUACGUAAAAAAAAAAAAAAAAAAAAAAAAAAAAAAAAAAAAAAAAAAAUUAAACAAAUUAAACAAAUUAAACAAAUUAAACAAAUACUAAACGAGGAAAGUGGCAUAUAUACAAAAUAUAUGAACAGGGACAGUUGGAAAAGACAGAACGAUUGUUUAUUAUGUGAAAGCAAAUCAUAUUCUUCAGAUCAUUUUUUAAUGAAUAAUAGUAAAGAAAAACAUUCGUACAUGCAACAACAUACCGAUGUUGACGUUGUACAACAUUUUAAUCGUUUUCUACAUAAGUAUGAACACUUUUUAAUUAAAAAAUAUUAUGAGUUUAAUAAUUUUUAUGUCAACAAGAAAUUGUUUGAUGGUAGGGCCGACUUAAUUUGGAAUAAGGGGGGUAAUUCGCACCCAUGUGGAGCAUGUUUGCGUGUUAAUAGUAAUGAUGGUAAUAGUAGUAGUGGUAGUGGUGGUGGUGGUGGUAGUGGUAAUGUUAGUGGUAACUGGCGUAACACAUACACUCGUGGCAACAAAAUGAGUACCAAAAGAGCUAACAAAAUAAUAUGUGAUACACUUAAACCCCCCAAUUACAUUCCCUUAAGCAUAAAAUCGCUUUUUUAUAAUAGAAAAGAAAAUUUAAAAAACAUGUUAUUUACAAUAGCCUAUCAUGAAUCAGGUGAUAUUUUUUUAUUUUUACUAAAAGAAGCUGGGUUACAUAAAGAACUUGAAAAAAUAAACAAAAUUAUAAACUGCUCUGAUAAUAUUCUUAGUAAUGCUGCGUCGGGUAUAAAAAGAAUCAAAAGAAAUUAUAUUAAAAAAUUUUGCCCUUAUUAUUAUAAUAAUAUAAAACUGUUUAAUGAUAACACGGUAGUAAUGAAUUUUCAAAAAUAUAUGCCAACUUGGUAUAUAAGAUACGUGUAUAGAGACAUUGUAAGAAACGGUAUGAUUAGGAGCUCCUCUCGGUUGGAGAGGAAGACAUUAGGGGAUGGGAAUGGCAGUAGUGGCAGCAACAGCAAACGUGGAGGCAGCAUAAGUGAAUACAACAUAAAUGAAUACAACAUAAGUGGAUACAACAGAAGUGGAUACAACAGAAGUGGAUACAACAGAAGUGGAUACAACAGAAGUGGAUACAACAGAAGUAAAUAUAACAGAAGUAGCAAUAGCUGUAUAUUGCCAAAAGAAGCAAUAAAAAACAAAUUUGAGUAUUUAAAGUGUGAAAAUGAUUAUCACAUUAUCACAAAACAAAACAAAAUGAAUAGUAAAAAAAAGUUAAAUAAAUAUAAUAUAAAAAAGCAAAACAUGUUUAUCAAUAACGAUAAAAUUAAGCUGAUUAAUAAAGAGUUAUAUAUAAAAAAUUCUAGUGAUGAUGAACCAUUAAAUGAUAAUGAUAUUAUACUAUAUAGUUCAAAAAAAUCGUAUAAUUUGAUGGAAAAGGUGACUGAGUAUGUUGUUGUCGCUUCGGAGAGUUAUGAUGUAGCCACUGUUGAUUAUGAUAACCGAUUAGAAUAUGACGAAAAAAGUGGAAUGUUUGAUGAUGACACACGUAGGAAGAUUGGACGCGACAAAGAAAAGAAGAAACUAAUAAUGUACACUCAUAUAUACAAUUAUAAAAAAGCGAAUUUCGUCUUAAAAUGCAUCAGUCAAAAUUUUCGCAAAUUUAUAAAAGAUAGACACAACUUGUCAUUCUGUCGUAAACAUUAUUUAUGUUCAAACGAUGAUAAUAUAUUGAUAGUACUAAAUAAAAAAAAAAGUAGAAAGCAUAAAAAUGAGUAUACGAAUACUACUAUAAAAUACAAUAACGAAUUAAAAAUGAUAGUUAAGAAUAUACAAAGGAAUGUAUGUGAAGAGUUUAAAUUAAACCAUAAAAACCGUUAUUAUAAUUUUGAAUCUGAAAAAGAAGGAGAAAAAGCUAAUGUGCCUUUAGAAAAAAAAAAAAAAAAAAUUUUGAUAAUAUGUGAGUUGCGUGAUCAUAAUGGUAAUACUUUAGACAUAGUAUAUUUAUUAAAUGAAAAAAAUCAAAAUGAUUGUCAAAAUUUGAAUGAGGUUUUAUCUGCACAUGCUAGAAAUGCAAACUGCUACAAGACUGACUAUGACUAUUCAUUAAAAAACAAGGGCUCUACUCGCAAUCGUAAUAACAGUAUAGGUAGUCUUUGCGAUAACAUAAAUAAUAGUUAUACUAGUAAUCUUAAUAGUAGAAGUGGAAAUAAUAACAAUAAUAUAAACAGUACUAAUCGUAGAAAUAGUAUUAAUAUAGGUGUUGAAGAGAAAACGUUGUCGAAACGCAUGCCUACAACAAAUGAAAUGAAACGUCUACAAUAUAAAACAGAAAAAGAAAAAGAAAGAAUUUUAAAAAACGAGUUGUUUAAAACUUCAGAGCAUAUUCAAGGUAUUAUAAAUCAUACAAUAGAAAUGGAGUUAAGCGAUAUAAAUAUAUAUAAUAACGGUUUGAUGAGUAAAGCAAAAAUGGAACACUACAAUAACACCAGAAAGGGUAAUGCCAAUUUGGGUGGUAGUGACAGUGGUAGCGGUAGUGGUAGUGGUAGCGGUAGUGGUAGUGGUAGCGGUAGUGAUAGUGGUAUUGGUAGUGGUAGUGGUAAUGGUAGUGGUAGUGGUAGUGGUAAUGGUAGUGGUAGUGGUAGUGGUAGUGACAGUGGUAGCGGUAGUGGUAGUGUUAGUGGUAGUGGUAGUGGUAGUGGUAGUGAUAGUGAUAGUGGUAGUAAUUUCACACCCAAGUCACAAAGUGAUACCGAAUGUAAUUUCCAUUCCAUACCAAGUGAAGAAAAUGAAAAUGGUAUUAGUAGUAACCAUAUUAUCGAGGACACAAUCGUCGGUAAUACCAAUUUAACUACUGAUAACAUAAAUUUAAACACAAAUGCAAUUGCAGUUCAAUUAAGAAUUAAUUUUGGAAAUACAAUCAGCAUGAUAAAUAAUGAUGGUCUCUUACAAAUACAUGAUGUAUCAAAUCGAACUGGGUAUAACCCAAGUGUAGUGGAUCCAGACUUUUUAUUUUUACAUGCAACAAAUGGGUUCAGAACAUUACAUAAUUUUUUUAUAAAUAAUGUUAAUGUUGUUGGUAGUAGAACGGUGUCUGAGGUUAACAACUUGUCUAGUGAAAACAUAAACAAUAAUUUAAUAAAUGAAAGUACAGAAGGAGUUGUAAAUUAUUCUUUGAUAAAUAGUACAAAUAAUAUUUCAGAUUUACCUCAUGUGAAUAAUUUAAGACUAUUUAAUAUUCCAACUAGUAAUAUGAAUAGGACUAAUGAUGACAUUAUUGAUCAUAAUGUUCGUUUAGUCCAUGAUGUUAAUACACAACAACAAUUAAUUCAAUCUGCUGUACAAAACAAUAAUUAUGUACUUUUUAAUUUGUUUUAUAAUAAUUGUUUAAAUAUAGGGAAUGGUAUACUAAAUACAGAUAACAAUGAAAUAUUUAUUUAUAUAAAUCGAUCUUUAAUUAAUGAUAAUAUUAUAGAUGUUAAUGUAUUACAUGGUGGUGUUGGUGGUGGUGUUCAAAGUGCACAAGAAGGGACUGGAAUUAUAACUUACGUAAACGACAACAAUUUACAUCAAAACGAAAUAACUACAACAAAAAAAAAAAUGAGCGAUUAUAAAAACUAUGAAUUAUUAAAAAAAGAUACAAAUGAUAUGUCAAAAAAAAAAAAUUUAAAUAAUAUAAAAAAUGAGGAUACAGAAAAAAUGUCUGACGAGCAAACUGUUUUUUAUGAAAUACCUUUGACUGUGGAAAGUAUGUUUUCAAAGGGAAAAUAUGACAAAACAAUUAAAUAUAUAUAUACACUAUCAAAAAGUGCGGAUCAAAUAUUAUUUGAGUAUAAUAAUGGUUCAGGCAAAAAAAAAGAAAAAAAAAAAAAUAUAUCAUCUUCGUAUGAUAUUGUCAUUGUUUAUGAAGGCCUGAAUGAACAUAUGGCUCAAAGAUGCACUUUAUUAAAUACAGCAUGUUUGGAUAAAAAGAAUUAUGAACCAAUGGAAGAAGAAAGAAAUGGUGAGUGUUUGUUUCUUGAUUGUAAAAAGGAACAAGAAGAUGAAAAGGGUGUGGAUGUGGAUGUGGGUGUGGCUGUGGAUGUGGAUGUGAAUGUGGGUGUGGCUGUGAAUGUGAAUGUGGGUGUAGAUGUGAAUGUGGGUGUAGAUGUGAAUGCGAAUGGAUUGGUGAAACAGCAUGUGUCGGAACAUUCAAAUGUUACUUGUAUUACUAAAUGUGGGCAAGAAGAUAGUGAAAAGGAUUAUGUAAAUGAAUAUUCGGUUACAGGUGUUGCUACAACAAGUGCUAAGACAAGUAUGCCUAUAGAUACCCGUACAAGUGGUGGUGUGAAUAAAAUCUCAAUGAAACAUUACAAUGAGCCCACAUGCAACAGUAGACUUUUUGAUAAAGCUACCAGUUUUAUUAAGGAUAAAUUAUCAUUCGAACUGUCAAGUUGUUCCUACGACUACUCGUCAAGUAAUUCAAGUAGCGAUUUUAGUAUGAUUGAAGACUCAUCGUGCGACUACAAUGAUAGCAGUUAUAAAUAUAAUUCCAUGUAUGAUACGAAUAAUUAUUAUGGCAAUAAUAAUAAUAAUAAUAAUAAUAAUAACAAGGGUGGUAAUUUUAAGUGUUCUAAAUGCGAAAGUUCAGCUGAUCUGUUUGUUUAUGAUAGUACUAUUAUUAACUUUCAAUCUGUAUACAAUUUUUUAAAACAUGAACAUUAUAUUUUAUAUGUAAAUGAUUAUGAUGUUAUUAUGAAAAAUAGUAAAAAAAAGCAACGAGAAACAAACUAUUAUUUAAAAAAAAGAGUAAUGAAUAAAAAUUUCAAAGAGGGAACCGAUGGACUUGUAAAUGUAAUACAAAGGUGUGGCACCACUAGUAACUGUAGUAACAUUGAAAAAGACAAGAAUAAAAAAAGAAAAGGCAUAAAAAAACAUCCAAAACUUUUCACUCUACAUAUUAAAGAUUUUAAAAAAAAAGAAUGUAAUAGUUGUUAUUUAAACUCAGGUAAAAUGAAUAAUAAAAUUAAAGUUAAAAACAUUGCUACUAAAAAAGAAAAAAAUAUAAUAAUAUAUAAUAAGCCUAAUGAUUUUUUUAUAAAACAUACAUUAAUACAUAAAUAUUUAUUACAACAGAAUUGUUAUGAAGAUAAGAUGAUAAUAAAUAAGAUGCCCAAAUUGAAACAUAAGGUUAGUAACAACAAUAAUAUAGGUGAGCGUACAUCGAUUAUAAAAACCAAAAUAAUAAAACAUUUGAAUCAGAAUAUUAGCUCAUUUGUACAGUUUAAAAGUAGGAAAGUUAAAAAUGACCUUUACAGUGAAGACGUUUUAAAAAUUUUAAAAAGCAUGUAUUAUAAUAAAGAAACCUUACCC